ACAUACGACCAUAGGGUGUGGAAAAUAGGGCUUCCCGUCCGCUCAGCCGUACUCAAGCCACACGCCGGUGAGUUAGUAGUUGGGUGGGUGACCAUCAGCGAAUCCUCACUGUUGUAUGUU
This 120-nucleotide ribosomal RNA is filed under the name Penicillium nordicum. Lineage: Eukaryota; Fungi; Ascomycota; Eurotiomycetes; Eurotiales; Aspergillaceae. The record is from RNAcentral.